GGCAGUUCUAGGGUGAUGCACCCUGGAAUCCUGGAAUCGGGCUCCCUCCUCUCUGGUUCUGGGUGCAUCACCCGAGAACUGCU
Myotis brandtii (Brandt's bat) is the source of this 83-nucleotide non-coding RNA. Lineage: Eukaryota; Metazoa; Chordata; Mammalia; Chiroptera; Vespertilionidae. The record is from Rfam.